AUUGAACGCUGGCGGAAUGCUUUACACAUGCAAGUCGAGCGGCAGCGCGGGGGCAACCCUGGCGGCGAGCGGCGAACGGGUGAGUAACAUAUCGGAACGUACCCCGUCGUGGGGGAUAACACAGCGAAAGCUGUGCUAAUACCGCAUACGACCUGAGGGUGAAAGCGGGGGAUCGCAAGACCUCGCGCGAUGGGAGCGGCCGAUAUCGGAUUAGCUUGUUGGUGAGGUAAAGGCUCACCAAGGCGACGAUCCGUAGCUGGUCUGAGAGGACGACCAGCCACACUGGAACUGAGACACGGUCCAGACUCCUACGGGAGGCAGCAGUGGGGAAUUUUGGACAAUGGGCGCAAGCCUGAUCCAGCAAUACCGCGUGUGUGAAGAAGGCCUUAGGGUUGUAAAGCACUUUCAAUUGGGAGGAAAACCUGCCGGUCAAUACCCGGUAGCUUGACAUUACCUUUAGUAAGAAGCACCGGCUAACUCCGUGCCAGCAGCCGCGGUAU
This 500-nucleotide ribosomal RNA is filed under the name uncultured bacterium. RNAcentral's name for it is "bacterial SSU rRNA". It matches the Rfam family "Bacterial small subunit ribosomal RNA", at positions 30 to 523 of the family's 1533-position model. The record is from RNAcentral.